GACGUAGGGCGCGAGCGUUGUCCGGAUUUAUUGGGCGUAAAGAGCUCGUAGGCGGCUCGUUGCGUCGGCUGUGAAAACCCGCAGCUUAACUGUGGGCCUGCAGCCGAUACGGGCGGGCUGGAGUUCGGUAGGGGAGACUGGAAUUCCUGGUGUAGCGGUGAAAUGCGCAGAUAUCAGGAGGAACACCGGUAGCGAAGGCGGGUCUCUGGGCCGAUACUGACGCUGAGGCUCGAAAGCGUGGGGAGCAAACAGG
RNAcentral lists this ribosomal RNA (253 nucleotides) under uncultured bacterium. RNAcentral's name for it is "partial 16S ribosomal RNA". It matches the Rfam family "Bacterial small subunit ribosomal RNA", at positions 524 to 776 of the family's 1533-position model. The record is from RNAcentral.